AGUUAAACUAAAAACAUAACCUAUGGUUGUAGACAAAUGUAUUGGCAGGUGUCUGGACGUGGGUUCGACUCCCACCGGCUCCA
This 83-nucleotide transfer RNA is filed under the name Streptococcus macedonicus ACA-DC 198. RNAcentral's name for it is "tRNA-Und (NNN) (tRNA-Und-NNN-1-1)". It matches the Rfam family "transfer-messenger RNA", at positions 288 to 371 of the family's 374-position model. Rfam says of the family: Bacterial tmRNA, also known as 10Sa RNA or SsrA, is named for its dual tRNA and mRNA-like properties. Its role is to liberate the mRNA from a stalled ribosome. The record is from RNAcentral. Lineage: Bacteria; Bacillati; Bacillota; Bacilli; Lactobacillales; Streptococcaceae.